ACUCAAAGGAAUUGACGGGGGCCCGCACAAGCGGUGGAGCAUGUGGUUUAAUUCGAAGCAACGCGAAGAACCUUACCAAGGCUUGACAUCCCAUUGACCGCAUUAGAGAUAGUGCUUCCCUUCGGGGCAAUGGUGACAGGUGGUGCAUGGUUGUCGUCAGCUCGUGUCGUGAGAUGUUGGGUUCAGUCCCGCAACGAGCGCAACCCUUAUCCUUAGUUGCCAGCAUUCAGUUGGGCUCUCUAAGGAGACAGCCGGUGAAAGCCGGAGGAAGGUGGGGAUGACGUCAAAUCAUCAUGCCCCUUAUGUCUUGGGCUACACACGUGCUACAAUGGAUGGUACAAAGGGAAGCAAGACCGCGAGGUGGAGCAAAUCCCAGAAAGCCAUUCUCAGUUCGGAUUGUAGGCUGCAACUCGCCUACAUGAAGCCGGAAUCGCUAGUAAUCGUGGAUCAGCAUGCCACGGUGAAUACGUUCCCGGGCCUUGUACACACCGCCCGU
This 496-nucleotide ribosomal RNA is filed under the name uncultured bacterium. RNAcentral describes it as "partial 16S ribosomal RNA". It matches the Rfam family "Bacterial small subunit ribosomal RNA", at positions 899 to 1397 of the family's 1533-position model. The record is from RNAcentral.